This 34-nucleotide transfer RNA is filed under the name Momordica welwitschii. RNAcentral's name for it is "partial tRNA-His". The record is from RNAcentral. Lineage: Eukaryota; Viridiplantae; Streptophyta; Magnoliopsida; Cucurbitales; Cucurbitaceae.
GCGGAUGUAGCCAAGCGGAUCAAGGCAGUGGAUU